CCAUAUCUGAAUACAUAGGAUAUGGCUGGGAACCGGAUGAAGUGAAACAUCUCAGUAAUCCGAGGAAAAGAAAACAAAUGUGAUUUCCUAAGUAGUGGCGAGCGAACGGGAAAUAGCCUAAACCAUACAUAUGUGAUAGCCCGGAAGCGUUGUAUGUAUGGGGUUGUGGGAUCUUAAUAGAGACUGUUUCGGAGGUUUCGGAGAGUUACAAAACUGAUUAUUAAUCAAACAAUCUGGAAAGUUUGGCCAUAGAGGGUGAUAGCCCCGUAGAUGAAAAUAAUGAGUCUCUCUUUUAAGACACCCGAGUACUGCGGAACACGAGAAAUUCUGUGGGAAUUAGU
Molecule: ribosomal RNA, 341 nt
Filed under: Ctenophora environmental sample
Lineage: Eukaryota; Metazoa; Ctenophora
Description: partial Bacterial large subunit ribosomal RNA
Rfam family: Bacterial large subunit ribosomal RNA
Source: RNAcentral